GGGAAGAUAUUGCACCCCUAGGAGAGACUGGGGGAUGCCCCAUGAUCUCUAGGUGAUUUUUAGACACACUGAGGUUUUUUUUUGCCACAAGGAGGGAUCAGGUGGCCAGCUGCUGGCUGAUUGCCCCUGACAGGUAGCCGGAGGCAGUUGAAGGAAGCCAGAGACUGCUGAAGGGAGCUGGCCACUGAUGAGUAAUUGCUGGUAUUAGGUUUCUUUCUUUACUGCGGCUGGCCUGACAGGGAGGGAAGGAAGCUGAAGCAGCUGAAAAAAAGCCAAAGGUCAGGUUUCUUUCCUGAUUAAAACCUAGAUGCUUUGGGCAGUUGUUAACCCUUUCCUUGAAACUUCUUGGUCUCAAUAAUAGAAAAUCAGCCUGUUUGUCAAACAGCUUGCUUAAGGUUUUAUGGUCCUUACAAGUACAUGCCAAGAAAUGAGAUCUUAAGAUAAGCUCCUGGGAUCGGGGUAGUUUACGUGUCUGUGUCUCUGUUGUUUGUCUUCUGGCUUUUGCUGUUUGUCUCAUGUGUAUUUCUGUAUUUGGACGCAGCAGCAAGGAAGCUGGCUGAUACCAAAGGAGGAGCCUGCCAGAGGACAAAAGUGUGUGAGAGAGGAGGCUGAAGGCAUCAUCAGGACCCACCAGAUCUAAGUUUUGGAGUCUUGCAUGCCUGCAAAAGGUAUCCUUCCCGCCCAUAACAGUAUUUAUUGAGACAGAAGGGUGUUGGAGGCAGCAUCAAUCUGUAUAUUCCAGGUCCACAGCCAGGAUCAAGGCAGAGACCAGAAUCUCCAUCCUAUGUCAUAGGGGGAUUCCUGCUCCAGAGUUGGAGGACAGAGAAGUGGCAGUCAGUGAGCACAGUCUCCAUGAGGAGAAGGAAGGGAAUGACUGGGAAGGAAUUCAAUCCUGAGGACAGAGUGGCGCUUUAAUAGACUCAUUGACUGAUUGAUGGAGAGUCCUUGUAGAGGCCAGAGG
This 961-nucleotide long non-coding RNA is filed under the name Monodelphis domestica (gray short-tailed opossum). RNAcentral's name for it is "lncRNA (ENSMODG00000046517.1)". The record is from RNAcentral. Lineage: Eukaryota; Metazoa; Chordata; Mammalia; Didelphimorphia; Didelphidae.